This 242-nucleotide ribosomal RNA is filed under the name uncultured bacterium. RNAcentral describes it as "partial 16S ribosomal RNA". It matches the Rfam family "Bacterial small subunit ribosomal RNA", at positions 92 to 334 of the family's 1533-position model. The record is from RNAcentral.
UGAGCGGCGGACGGGUGAGUAACGCGUGGGUAACCUGCCUCAUACAGGGGGAUAACAGUUGGAAACGGCUGCUAAUACCGCAUAAGCGCACAGUACCGCAUGGUACGGUGUGAAAAACUCCGGUGGUAUGAGAUGGACCCGCGUCUGAUUAGGUAGUUGGUGGGGUAACGGCCUACCAAGCCGACGAUCAGUAGCCGACCUGAGAGGGUGACCGGCCACAUUGGGACUGAGGCACGGCCCAA